This 616-nucleotide ribosomal RNA is filed under the name uncultured Legionella sp. RNAcentral describes it as "bacterial SSU rRNA". It matches the Rfam family "Bacterial small subunit ribosomal RNA", at positions 242 to 849 of the family's 1533-position model. Lineage: Bacteria; Pseudomonadati; Pseudomonadota; Gammaproteobacteria; Legionellales; Legionellaceae. The record is from RNAcentral.
UAGCUAGUUGGUAGGGUAAGGGCCUACCAAGGCGACGAUCGGUAGCUGGUCUGAGAGGAUGGCCAGCCACACUGGAACUGAGACACGGUCCAGACUCCUACGGGAGGCAGCAGUGGGGAAUAUUGGACAAUGGGGGCAACCCUGAUCCAGCAAUGCCGCGUGUGUGAAGAAGGCCUGAGGGUUGUAAAGCACUUUCAGUAGGGAGGAGGGUUGAUUGGUUAAGAGCUGAUUGACUGGACGUUACCUACAGAAGAAGCACCGGCUAACUCCGUGCCAGCAGCCGCGGUAAUACGGAGGGUGCGAGCGUUAAUCGGAAUUACUGGGCGUAAAGCGUGCGUAGGUGGUUGAAUAAGUUAUCUGUGAAAUCCCUGGGCUUAACCUGGGCAGGUCAGAUGAUACUGUUUGACUCGAGUAUGGGAGAGGGUAGUGGAAUUUCCGGUGUAGCGGUGAAAUGCGUAGAGAUCGGAGGGAACACCAGUGGCGAAGGCGGCUACCUGGCCUAAUACUGACACUGAGGCACGGAAGCGUGGGGAGCAAACAGGAUUAGAUACCCUGGUAGUCCACGCUGUAAACGAUGUCAACUAGCUGUUGGUUAUAUGAAAAUAAUUAGUGGCGC